GUUUGUGAUAUACCUAUGGAAUGUAAAAAUAGCAACGAAUUCAUAGAUUUAAUUAUUAUUUCUGUGGCAUGUCCAAAAAGGAAAUAAAAUCAAAAGUUUCUAUUAGGAUUGAAGCUUGUCUGGGAACACAGGAGGUGGUCUCCUAUUGUUUCUGUAGGUACACCUUACUUACACGUCCAGACCAGGCUUGGAAACCUGAGUGUAUAUAUCAAAUGAUAUGUAAAUAUCUAGUGCACUUGUUUGGGGCCAAAAUCUAAUUUUGAGUGAGUUAUUAGGACUUCUGUUAAAUUUUCCGUUUUGUUUUCAUCUGUUGUUGGCGUAAAUAAUUUGUCAUCUGUUUUUUCUAUGCACUGUGACUAUUGUUUGUCCAUAAUAAAUAUAGAUAUUGUUCUAAAUUGUAUUUUGAGGAUAUUUUUAGUCUAAUUUAUCUGGGGGACCAAGGCACCCCAUGUAUAAAUUGUGUUGGCAGCAUUAAAAAUAGCAAUAUUUAUAUAUCAAUUUAUAAUUAAGUGGGGGUGGCAUUAAAGGGUAUUUUUAUAAUUAUUUCCAGACUAGUGCAGACAAAUAGUAUACUUUAACCCUUUCACCACCAAAACUAAGUCACACACACUCUUGAAGUACUGUGCGUUCUUGUCUAACUUUACCAUUUCCAGUAAGAGCUAAUUCCAGCAGGGCAAUAGCUACUUAUAUCCCCACUGUCUACUGGAACUAUACGUCAAGAAAAACAGAAAUUUUACUUACCAUAAAUAAUUUUUUCCUUAAUAUAGUGGCAGUACAAUUUUCUUCCAUCAUUUGAUAAUAAAUUUAUAUUUUUGCAUUUAAGCAGGUUUUCUCUUGAUAUUUACAGAGGGAGUAAAGAAGGGUUCCAC
Molecule: non-coding RNA, 869 nt
Organism: Pelobates cultripes (western spadefoot toad)
Lineage: Eukaryota; Metazoa; Chordata; Amphibia; Anura; Pelobatidae
Source: the annotation of a GenBank genome assembly